This 921-nucleotide ribosomal RNA is filed under the name Calepitrimerus painus. Its description in RNAcentral is "eukaryotic LSU rRNA". It matches the Rfam family "Eukaryotic large subunit ribosomal RNA", at positions 366 to 944 of the family's 3401-position model. The record is from RNAcentral. Lineage: Eukaryota; Metazoa; Arthropoda; Arachnida; Trombidiformes; Eriophyidae.
AAAUAGAACUUUGCAGAGAGAGUUAACAGGGCGUGAAACCGUUAAUUGGCAAACGAAUCGGAGCCACGAAGUCGUUUCGUUGAUCUGAGCUGGGUUCAGUUUGGGACGAGAGUCUCAGGCGUACUCUCAUCUUAGUCAUUGUAAGCGUACACUGCAACCAGUUAGACAAUUGGCGAUGGGCCCAGUUGGGUAUAUCGUUCGCGGUAAACUUAACGAAGUGCUUGUUCGUUCAGAUCAGCAGUAGCGUUACAUCUUUUCGGAGUUGUAGUGUUGCUAGGUUUGUUCGAGUGAACUAUCACCAAAUACUGACUGGCAAAAUGAAAAUCGCCUCAGUGCGUUAGAUAGAAUGCGAUUGCUUGGUCUGGUGCCUACACCAUUGACCGUAGUGUCAUAGUUCGGCAUUUUUGAAUUUGGACUUGCAGGCUACCAAUGGGGCAACUCUUGGUGCUUGUAUAGCUACCAUCUAAUCGGGUGUCGACUUGGCAUUGCGUUGCUCGGUUGUGCUACGAUUGGGUGCCAGAGUAAUGUAAUUCGCCAUUUGAUUGGCAGUGAGUAGGUCGGCUUUCCGAACGACCCGUCUUGAAACACGGACCAAGGAGUCUAAUUAGGCAUCGAGUCGAUCGGUCUUGAUAGGCCAGAUAAGUGGGCUUGUACCCAUUGAGUGAAGGCGAAGAGAAAUCGAAUCGUGUGAUCGUCGGGUCAAAAACAGACUUAACGCGCAACAUGUGCCUGUUCGUAUAGUAAUGUUAGUAAUAACUUACUGAGCGGAGCAAAGAGAUACCUGGUUGGUACCCGAAAGAUGGUGAACUAUGCCUGGGCAAAUUGAAGCCAGAGGAAACUCUGGUGGAGGAUUGUAGCGGUUCUGACGUGCAAAUCGAUCGUCAGACCUGGGUAUAGGGGCGAAAGACUAAUCGAACCAUC